RNAcentral lists this ribosomal RNA (253 nucleotides) under uncultured bacterium. RNAcentral's name for it is "partial 16S ribosomal RNA". It matches the Rfam family "Bacterial small subunit ribosomal RNA", at positions 524 to 776 of the family's 1533-position model. The record is from RNAcentral.
UACGAAGGGGGCUAGCGUUGUUCGGAAUUACUGGGCGUAAAGCGCACGUAGGCGGAUCGAUCAGUCAGGGGUGAAAUCCCAGGGCUCAACCCUGGAACUGCCUUUGAUACUGUCGAUCUGGAGUAUGGAAGAGGUGAGUGGAAUUCCGAGUGUAGAGGUGAAAUUCGUAGAUAUUCGGAGGAACACCAGUGGCGAAGGCGGCUCACUGGCCCGAUACUGACGCUGAGGCACGAAAGCGUGGGGAGCAAACAGG